UACGUAGGGUGCGAGCGUUAAUCGGAAUUACUGGGCGUAAAGCGUGCGCAGGCGGUUUUGUAAGGCAGAUGUGAAAUCCCCGGGCUUAACCUGGGAAUGGCAUUUGGGACUGCAAGGCUCGAGUGCGGCAGAGGAGACUGGAAUUCCUGGUGUAGCAGUGAAAUGCGUAGAUAUCAGGAGGAAUACCGAUGGCGAAGGCAGGUCUCUGGGCUGACACUGACGCUCAUGCACGAAAGCGUGGGGAGCAAACAGG
This 253-nucleotide ribosomal RNA is filed under the name uncultured bacterium. RNAcentral's name for it is "partial 16S ribosomal RNA". It matches the Rfam family "Bacterial small subunit ribosomal RNA", at positions 524 to 776 of the family's 1533-position model. The record is from RNAcentral.